AUUGAACGCUGGCGGCAUGCUUUACACAUGCAAGUCGAACGGCAGCGCGGGCUUCGGCCUGGCGGCGAGUGGCGAACGGGUGUGUAAUACAUCGGAACGUGCCCAGUAGUGGGGGAUAGCUCGGCGAAAGCCGGAUUAAUACCGCAUACGACCUGAGGGUGAAAGCGGGGGAUCUUCGGACCUCGCGCUAUUGUAGCGGCCGAUGGCAGAUUAGCUAGUUGGUGGGGUAAAGGCCUACCAAGGCGACGAUCUGUAGCUGGUCUGAGAGGACGACCAGCCACACUGGGACUGAGACACGGCCCAGACUCCUACGGGAGGCAGCAGUGGGGAAUUUUGGACAAUGGGCGAAAGCCUGAUCCAGCAAUGCCGCGUGUGUGAUGAAGGCCUUCGGGUUGUAAAGCACUUUUGGCGGGAACGAAAAGGACUGUGCCAAUACCACGGUUCGAUGACGGUACCCGCAGAAUAAGCACCGGCUAACUACGUG
RNAcentral lists this ribosomal RNA (484 nucleotides) under uncultured bacterium. RNAcentral describes it as "partial 16S ribosomal RNA". It matches the Rfam family "Bacterial small subunit ribosomal RNA", at positions 30 to 507 of the family's 1533-position model. The record is from RNAcentral.